Molecule: non-coding RNA, 72 nt
Organism: Trichuris muris
Lineage: Eukaryota; Metazoa; Nematoda; Enoplea; Trichinellida; Trichuridae
Source: Rfam
GGUUCCAUGGUGCAAUGGCAAGCACUCUGGACUUUGAAUCAAGCAAUCCGAAUUCAAAUCUCAGUGGGACCU